RNAcentral lists this ribosomal RNA (378 nucleotides) under uncultured bacterium. Its description in RNAcentral is "bacterial SSU rRNA". It matches the Rfam family "Bacterial small subunit ribosomal RNA", at positions 521 to 896 of the family's 1533-position model. The record is from RNAcentral.
UAAUACGUAGGGCGCAAGCGUUGUCCGGAAUUAUUGGGCGUAAAGAGCUCGUAGGCGGCUUGUCACGUCGGGUGUGAAAGCCCGGGGCUUAACCCCGGGUCUGCAUUCGAUACGGGCUAGCUAGAGUGUGGUAGGGGAGAUCGGAAUUCCUGGUGUAGCGGUGAAAUGCGCAGAUAUCAGGAGGAACACCGGUGGCGAAGGCGGAUCUCUGGGCCAUUACUGACGCUGAGGAGCGAAAGCGUGGGGAGCGAACAGGAUUAGAUACCCUGGUAGUCCACGCCGUAAACGGUGGGAACUAGGUGUUGGCGACAUUCCACGUCGUCGGUGCCGCAGCUAACGCAUUAAGUUCCCCGCCUGGGGAGUACGGCCGCAAGGCUA